UUCGCUGCCUCCUCCCCAAUCGAUCUCUCUCUCUCCCGCACAUCUCUCUCGUCCGCCGCCGCCACAAGCCAUCCUCCCCGUCCUCUCACCUCCUCCGUCCACUCCCUCCUCCCUCCUCCCUCCUCCUCAGAUCCCCUUCUCCGGGGUUGGGGAAGCGAUGGCGGCGACAGACACAUCUCCUUCCCGUCCGCCGCAGCGAAGAGCCGACGACCACGAGCUUCCGCGUCGGGCCGUCGCGAUUCGCAUCUCCUCCCCGCUGUUUUCCCGCGCCGGCCGCCGCAUCUACUUUCCCGCCAGGGCUGCCUUCUUACCAUCCACGAUAGUCACGAGCCGACGACCGCAUCUCACCUUGCUCGACGUCCACCGCAGAGGACCGGUAGCUGUUGACCUACUGCCUACCCGUCCGCCACAAGUGCAAGAAGAAGCAGGAGCAAAGCAAAGGCAGGAUUCCAUGGUGAGUUUGGAGUUUACCCUCUGUCCCUGGAAAUUGAAAUUGGCUCUCAUGCGAGCGUCCACCUUUUCUUAGCCAUGGAAUACAAAGGAAGCUACCGAAAUGUGAUAGAUCCUACUCUUCAGUGGCUUAAAUUUGAAGAUGUAGUGGCCGAACAAGACUAGGAUCAUGUUUAUGAUGCAUUUUCCAUCGAUACAGAGUGGUGUGCCUCUCCAAGCCACUCUGCUUUCCAUCAACGCCGACAACCACAACAGGGGUGGAUCCAGCCGACAAGAGGUAGAGCGGCGGUCAAUGGUGGGGGGCUGCUACCAGGCUGCAGGUUGCUAGAGUUGUUCAAGCAGGCACGUGCGUUCUACUUUUGGUAAAUUUGUUUAGUUUGAGUCGGUACCAUAACAAAGCUAGGUUCUGUAACUUAUUUUUUUUGCAUUUUUACAUACGGCUGAAUCAAAUGCUCAAGUUAGUGUGUAUUGGUUAACAAUGGAGGGUUGUUGUGGUGCCUGUUGGGCCUUUGGUGUUGUGGAGUGUCUGCAAGAUUGUCUCUGCAUUCCUCACGACAUGAACAUUUCACUUUCUAUCAAUAAGCAUUCUUCUUCAUGCUAACUUGGUGUAAGGUAGCCUUGAUGAUGUGUUGAGGCGGUAUGCUCAGUGACUGUUAGUAAGGUUGAUCAUAGGCAAGCAAAAGUGCUUUGUGGAUACUUGCAUAACCAAGGAAGAACUUUGUUAUUUGAAGUAUGCACUAGAGAUAUUGCAAGACUUACGCCUUCGACCUGCUUGACCAAGCAGCAAAAAGAUGAACCAAACCCAAUGUGACUCAACAUGUUGGGCUUUUUUAGUGGAGCAGAAUGACGAGGCUUCUGAGAAUCAGAGUUGGACCUUGGCAGCCGCCGCUCCUCGGCAAUCAGCAGGAGGUACAACUGCCGCAACCACUUCUUGGCAGAGAAGCAGGCCAGCGACGAGGAGGCUCACCACAAACAUGUUGUUGAUGGACAAUCGGGGCAGCCUUGAUGGUGAUAUACCAGCCUGCGCCCCUGGCUGCCAGGACACAUGAAGGAACCAGCAGCAGCCUCCAGUAGGACAAACCGGGACGAGGACGGGGAUGGAGAAUGCGGCAUCCAUCUCGCGGAUCUGGGCCAUGGCGCCCGUAGCGGUGCUUCCAAAAUCGGGCCGUUGUCAAGUGCUUCUUCGACCUAGAAGAUAAGAUUACAAAUCCUGUGUCUUCGUUUAUAUAGAAUCUUAUGUGUUUCGUGAUAAUUCACAAGAUUCUCUUAAUGAACAUUUUGAGUAUAGUCUCUUAAACAAUCUGGUUAGAAGAAAACAGGGAGAAAACACGUGUAGUUAAAUAUGAAUGCAUAUAUUAUUUCGAGGUAAAUUUCAAUGCAUAUACCGGCUCUUAAGGAGUAUUACAUGGUUUUUAUUUUCGCAAUUGGAUGGAAGUGUUGGUUCUUUCCAAGUCUUUGGAAUAACAAUUGUACAACACCAUCUGGACUAUCUAUCUUUCUAUGGUGGUGAACUAUAACCUGCUUUUUGGUUUGGAUCUGAGCGCUGGACCAUUGCGCUGGACAGGGCACCACGCCCCAAGACCGCCUUUUGGAAUUCCACUAUACUUGAAGAAAGAAG
Long non-coding RNA from Triticum aestivum (bread wheat), 2068 nucleotides. RefSeq lists it as uncharacterized. The record is from RefSeq and is a predicted model, not a curated record. The transcript has 9 exons. NCBI's taxonomy places the organism in Eukaryota, Viridiplantae, Streptophyta, Magnoliopsida, Poales, Poaceae.